This 525-nucleotide ribosomal RNA is filed under the name uncultured bacterium. Its description in RNAcentral is "partial 16S ribosomal RNA". It matches the Rfam family "Bacterial small subunit ribosomal RNA", at positions 355 to 871 of the family's 1533-position model. The record is from RNAcentral.
UAGGGAAUCUUCCACAAUGGACGAAAGUCUGAUGGAGCAACGCCGCGUGAGUGAUGAAGGGUUUCGGCUCGUAAAACUCUGUUGUUGGAGAAGAACGGGUGUCAGAGUAACUGUUGACAUCGUGACGGUAUCCAACCAGAAAGCCACGGCUAACUACGUGCCAGCAGCCGCGGUAAUACGUAGGUGGCAAGCGUUGUCCGGAUUUAUUGGGCGUAAAGCGAGCGCAGGCGGUUUUUUAGGUCUGAUGUGAAAGCCUUCGGCUUAACCGGAGAAGUGCAUCGGAAACCGGGAGACUUGAGUGCAGAAGAGGACAGUGGAACUCCAUGUGUAGCGGUGAAAUGCGUAGAUAUAUGGAAGAACACCAGUGGCGAAGGCGGCUGUCUGGUCUGCAACUGACGCUGAGGCUCGAAAGCAUGGGUAGCGAACAGGAUUAGAUACCCUGGUAGUCCAUGCCGUAAACGAUGAGUGCUAAGUGUUGGAGGGUUUCCGCCCUUCAGUGCUGCAGUUAACGCAUUAAGCACUCCG